This 425-nucleotide ribosomal RNA is filed under the name uncultured Mucilaginibacter sp. RNAcentral describes it as "bacterial SSU rRNA". It matches the Rfam family "Bacterial small subunit ribosomal RNA", at positions 355 to 776 of the family's 1533-position model. Lineage: Bacteria; Pseudomonadati; Bacteroidota; Sphingobacteriia; Sphingobacteriales; Sphingobacteriaceae. The record is from RNAcentral.
UAAGGAAUAUUGGUCAAUGGGCGCAAGCCUGAACCAGCCAUGCCGCGUGCAGGAAGACGGCCCUACGGGUUGUAAACUGCUUUUGCAGGGGAAUAAACCCCCAUUCGUGUAAUGGGGUUGAAAGUACUCUGAGAAUAAGGAUCGGCUAACUCCGUGCCAGCAGCCGCGGUAAUACGGAGGAUCCGAGCGUUAUCCGGAUUUAUUGGGUUUAAAGGGUGCGUAGGCGGCCUUGUAAGUCAGGGGUGAAAGACGGUAGCUUAACUAUCGCAGUGCCUUUGCUACUGCAGGGCUUGAAUGUACUAGAGGCAGGCGGAAUGUGACAAGUAGCGGUGAAAUGCAUAGAUAUGUCACAGAACACCAAUUGCGAAGGCAGCUUGCUAUGGUAUGAUUGACGCUGAGGCACGAAAGCGUGGGGAUCAAACAGG